AAGAUACUGGUGUAAAAACACACCGCCUUGUCAAGACAGAGUUGCGGGUUGGACUCCCGCGUAUCUUA
Molecule: transfer RNA, 68 nt
Filed under: Odontobutis haifengensis
Lineage: Eukaryota; Metazoa; Chordata; Actinopteri; Gobiiformes; Odontobutidae
Description: tRNA-Asp
Rfam family: tRNA
About the family: Transfer RNA (tRNA) molecules are approximately 80 nucleotides in length. Their secondary structure includes four short double-helical elements and three loops (D, anti-codon, and T loops).
Source: RNAcentral